This is a long non-coding RNA of Danaus plexippus (monarch butterfly), 717 nucleotides long. RefSeq lists it as uncharacterized. The transcript has 4 exons. NCBI's taxonomy places the organism in Eukaryota, Metazoa, Arthropoda, Insecta, Lepidoptera, Nymphalidae. The record is from RefSeq and is a predicted model, not a curated record.
CGGAGUCUGCGUAAUAGAACGGCAUUCCAUACAGAUUGCUAUAUGGGAAUAAACGCUAAUAAAUUACCAACAUCGUACACACGUACUGAACGAGCCCCGUGUUCUUGAUUAGUUUGAAGUCCUCCGCUAAUGUUCCCGCGCAGUCUAGAUGUGAUGGAGAUAAAAGUUAAAAGGAACAAAAAUAUGAUCAUUCUUCAUAUGAUGAGAGUUGAAAAUAGAAGAUAAAUGGUUACUAUGAACGACUUUACCUGCACUGAGAUAAGGACCAGACAGAAACAAUGCUUCAUGAAAAUUUAUCAGAACAGAAUAACUUUAAAUUUGGCAAGGAGACGACAAAUUCUCAUUGCAUCAGGCACCGGUGGCAGGUGUGCGUACCGUGAAUAAAGAAAGCCAGCUUUGCAUUUGCUGAGAAUAUUUUUAUAAGAUUAGAUCCAGCGCUAACUUCCUAGAAAAUAAUAAUAAUUAGUCAGGAUAGCCAGGAUAAAUCGGAGUUUUAAGCAUUGCAUCUCCAUGUUGUUUACAAACCUUUUAUAUUUUUAUGGAUACUCCUGUUAAUAAUCAAUAUCACACAAAAAUAAAACUAGCAUUCUUUUUUUUCAGUACAAUAUUUUUAUUACUUAUUAGAUAACAUACAUUAUGACAAUAAAUAUUUAUUUAUUUAUUUAUUUGUUAACCGGAUAUCAUAAUAUAAAUAAAAUAUUUUGAUUUGCAUUUGUA